This 253-nucleotide ribosomal RNA is filed under the name uncultured bacterium. Its description in RNAcentral is "partial 16S ribosomal RNA". It matches the Rfam family "Bacterial small subunit ribosomal RNA", at positions 524 to 776 of the family's 1533-position model. The record is from RNAcentral.
UACAGAGGCUGCAAGCGUUAUUCGGAUUCACUGGGCGUAAAGGGUGCGCAGGCGGCCGUGUGUGUCAGGUGUGAAAGCCCGGAGCUUAACUCCGGAAUUGCGCCUGAAACUACAUGGCUAGAGCAUUGGAGAGGGUAGCGGAAUUCACGGUGUAGCAGUGAAAUGCGUAGAUAUCGUGAGGAACACCAGAGGCGAAGGCGGCUAGCUGGACAAUUGCUGACGCUCAGGCACGAAAGCGUGGGGAGCAAAAGGG